RNAcentral lists this ribosomal RNA (484 nucleotides) under uncultured bacterium. Its description in RNAcentral is "partial 16S ribosomal RNA". It matches the Rfam family "Bacterial small subunit ribosomal RNA", at positions 30 to 507 of the family's 1533-position model. The record is from RNAcentral.
AUUGAACGCUGGCGGCAGGCCUAACACAUGCAAGUCGAGCGGAUGAAGGGAGCUUGCUCCUGGAUUCAGCGGCGGACGGGUGAGUAAUGCCUAGGAAUCUGCCUGGUAGUGGGGGAUAACGCCCGGAAACGGGCGCUAAUACCGCAUACGUCCUGAGGGAGAAAGUGGGGGAUCUUCGGACCUCACGCUAUCAGAUGAGCCUAGGUCGGAUUAGCUAGUUGGUGGGGUAAAGGCCUACCAAGGCGACGAUCCGUAACUGGUCUGAGAGGAUGAUCAGUCACGCUGGAACUGAGACACGGUCCAGACUCCUACGGGAGGCAGCAGUGGGGAAUAUUGGACAAUGGGCGAAAGCCUGAUCCAGCCAUGCCGCGUGUGUGAAGAAGGUCUUCGGAUUGUAAAGCACUUUAAGUUGGGAGGAAGGGCAGUAAGUUAAUACCUUGCUGUUUUGACGUUACCAACAGAAUAAGCACCGGCUAACGUCGUG